RNAcentral lists this ribosomal RNA (301 nucleotides) under uncultured Glomus. RNAcentral describes it as "SSU rRNA". It matches the Rfam family "Eukaryotic small subunit ribosomal RNA", at positions 548 to 857 of the family's 1831-position model. Lineage: Eukaryota; Fungi; Glomeromycota; Glomeromycetes; Glomerales; Glomeraceae. The record is from RNAcentral.
UUGGAGGGCAAGUCUGGUGCCAGCAGCCGCGGUAAUUCCAGCUCCAAUAGCGUAUAUUAAAGUUGUUGCAGUUAAAAAGCUCGUAGUUGAAUUUCGGGACCAAUUUGUUGGUCGUGCCUCGGUACGUACUGGUAUUAUUGGUUUCUCCCUUCUGAAGAACCUCGAUGCCAUUAAUUUGGUGUCGUGGGAAUCAGGACUGUUACUUUGAAAAAUUGAGUGUUUAAAGCAGGCAUACGCUUGAAUACAUUAGCAUGGAAUAAUGAAAUAGGACGUUUGAUUCUAUUUUGUUGGUUUCUAGGAU